This 504-nucleotide ribosomal RNA is filed under the name uncultured bacterium. Its description in RNAcentral is "partial 16S ribosomal RNA". It matches the Rfam family "Bacterial small subunit ribosomal RNA", at positions 29 to 523 of the family's 1533-position model. The record is from RNAcentral.
AUUGAACGCUGGCGGCAGGCCUAACACAUGCAAGUCGAACGGUAGCACAGAGAGCUUGCUCUCGGGUGACGAGUGGCGGACGGGUGAGUAACGUCUGGGAAACUGCCCGAUGGAGGGGGAUAACUACUGGAAACGGUAGCUAAUACCGCAUAACGUCGCAAGACCAAAGUGGGGGACCUUCGGGCCUCACACCAUCGGAGGUGCCCAGAUGGGAUUAGCGAGUAGGUGGGGUAAUGGCUCACCUAGGCGACGAUCCCUAGCUGGUCUGAGAGGGUGACCAGCCACACUGGAACUGAGACACGGUCCAGACUCCUACGGGAGGCAGCAGUGGGGAAUAUUGCACAAUGGGCGCAAGCCUGAUGCAGCCAUGCCGCGUGUAUGAAGAAGGCCUUCGGGUUGUAAAGUACUUUCAGCGGGGAGGAAGGCGGUGAAGUUAAUAACUUCACCGAUUGACGUUACCCGCAGAAGAAGCACCGGCUAACUCCGUGCCAGCCGCCGCCGUAA